Molecule: long non-coding RNA, 444 nt
Filed under: Musa acuminata (dwarf banana)
Lineage: Eukaryota; Viridiplantae; Streptophyta; Magnoliopsida; Zingiberales; Musaceae
Description: long non-coding RNA (MACU_LNC007330)
Source: RNAcentral
ACAUUUCUUCUUGUUCCUAUCCAGGUCUAUCCAGGAAUCUUUGGGCAGAGAGAGCCAAAAAAAAAAAAGUGUAAAUCGAGGAGCAUUAAAACCACAUAAUAUAAAAGACGGAAAGGAAAAUAGACCACAAGUUGUGGAUCAGGUGCAGGGGCACGUGGAACCGGCGACGUGAGCUUUACUCUGCACUUUACGACACGUCAGGUCGCACUGGCCGCCGGUCAGCCCACCUUUCGACGCGUGUCUCCACCGAUCCAAAUCCAGAAUAUAGAAAGCAAGUGGUUCCCACGCGGCCGCCUUGCCGCCACUAGAAAAUGCUUUAUUCCACAUACAAAAUGCAGCCGAGACAAUUGCUGCCACUCGUUACAUAUGUUUACCGAUUUUAAUUUGUGGUCGGCGUGAAGCAUCAUCGCAGCCGUUGGAAGAAAAACUGGCGGUGGAUCACAU